RNAcentral lists this long non-coding RNA (202 nucleotides) under Elaeis guineensis (African oil palm). RNAcentral describes it as "long non-coding RNA (EGUI_LNC036332)". The record is from RNAcentral. Lineage: Eukaryota; Viridiplantae; Streptophyta; Magnoliopsida; Arecales; Arecaceae.
AGGCUGUCUCUUUUUAAAAUUGAUCAAAGGCUUUUUUUAGUUGACGGGCCAAUCAAAGGCUUUUUCAGUUGACUGGUCGAUCAAAGGCCAUCAUGUUUUAAAGCUAAUCAAAAGCUCCUUCUGUUGACUGAUCGAUCAAAGAUCGUCAUGUUUUAGAGCCGAUCAAAGACUCCUUCAAUUGACUGAUCGAUCAAAGGCCAUC